GGACAGCUAGGGACUUGCGUGUGUUCAGCGUUUAGUCUGCCUUGUGACAGGCACUUUAAGAACUUCAGGACUAAGUCUGUGGCCUGGAAUCUCCAUGCAGUUCCAGGCAGCCAUCUGUAUCAGAAAAAAAAGUACCAGAGCCUUCCCCUGUAACAAGGAGAAAGGCAUAUGAGAAAGCAGACAAAGCAAAGACCAAGGAGCAGAAACAGGGCAUUAUCAACCCAUUUCCUGCCUGCAGAGGAAUCAGAGCGUCUUUCCUUCAGUGUGUUCACGUAGCUGAGGGGCACACGAAAGCUGUGCUCUGCGUGGAUUCGACUGAUGACCUUCUCUUCACUGGAUCAAAAGAUCGUACUUGUAAAGUUUGGAAUCUCGUGACUGGACAGGAAAUUAUGUCAUUAGGGGUUCACCCUAACAACGUUGUGUCUGUAAAAUACUGUAAUUACACCAGUCUAGUCUUCACAGUGUCAACAUCUUAUAUUAAGGUGUGGGAUAUCAGAGAGUCAGCGAAGUGCAUUCGAACAUUAA
RNAcentral lists this long non-coding RNA (525 nucleotides) under Rattus norvegicus (Norway rat). RNAcentral describes it as "long non-coding RNA NONRATT027254". Lineage: Eukaryota; Metazoa; Chordata; Mammalia; Rodentia; Muridae. The record is from RNAcentral.